AGUGCAGCCUGCAUGUUAUUCUUCACGGAUGCAUGCAUGUGUGUUUGGUUGGGAUACUCACGGAUCUGACACAGCAUGCCCUGCCAUCCUGCAGCACAGUGGCAGGUGUUUGCUCCCACACACUCGCCUCCGUUCAGACACUUCUGCAGACAGCUGGCUGUGAGGCAACAAGAUGAAACAUCAGAGGUCACAUCAGACACAAUAAAGCCCUAAACUCUGGAUAGCUAAGAUGUGAUGUUGCAAAGCCACGACUGUAAGAUUUGGUCUGGAUAGCUUCUGCACAGGUCUGCAGGUGUGCACACUGAUGCAUCAUGGGAUCUGACAGCUUGGACAGUUGAAUGACGAGGUCCUAAAUGUGAAGCGCCUGCUCUGAUCCGAUUCUUGUUUCUUGGCACUCACGUUUAUCGCAUCUCUUUCCUCGCCAACCGGACGGGCAAUCGCAAACAUCUGGGCCAACGCAUCUGCCGCCGUUCAUGCACAUGGGCUCGCACACACCUGCAGAGAGAGAAGAAGAAGAAGCAUAUUGCAGUUUGGCUUGAAAAGAUGAGUAAUGUGGAGGAGACAAAGAAGAAGAAGAAGGAGGUCUGACUUUUCUCGCAUCUCCUCCCGGUGUAUCCCUGCAGACAGGAGCAGACGUUGUUCCUCAUGCAGAGACCGCCGUUCUUACAGGGAGGACUGCAGACCGCUGAAACAGGAGAAACAACAGAACACAUUCAGACACUAAUAACCAGAUAAAUACUCCUGCAGCUGAUUGAUGUGUGAAUGUCUAGAUUUACCGUUCUGACACUGUGCUCCGUAGAAACCGUGAGGACACUCGCAGAGAUUCGGCCGCACACAUGAGCCUCCGUUCAUGCACAAGGGCGAGCACAGAGCUGCAGACGGACCAGACAACGCUGUUAAGAGAUCCUGAAGCCGAGUUCCCCUACCUGCCUUGGCGUUCUUCAUGCAGACACGUCCGUUGCCGUAGAGGCCGGGUGGGCAUCGUCCGCAGACGUACCCGACAUGUGGUGGCCGGCGGUUGAUGCAUUGAACUCCGGGGAAGCAGGGCCGGCUUGCACACGUAGACGACACCACCAGCGACAGAUCAGAUCCUGAGAGACACAAACAAGCUGGACCACGGCGGACGUCUUGGCGAUGGUGUUGCUGAUGUCCGGUUGAUUUGGCAGGUCUCCUGAGAUGUUCAUGAAAGAGUCGGCAUCGGUGGUCUGCGGCUUAAGCUGGAUUCCUGUGGCGCUGGUCUUCAUCAGCGGGCAUGCCUUUGGGGCAGUCGCCGCAGCCGAAGGAGCCGAAGUUGUUGAAGCACUGGACUCCCGGGAAACAAGGCUUCCUCUCACACUCAUUGAUGUCCUCCAGGCAUG
Notolabrus celidotus (New Zealand spotty) is the source of this 1358-nucleotide long non-coding RNA. RefSeq lists it as uncharacterized. The transcript is spliced from 4 exons. NCBI's taxonomy places the organism in Eukaryota, Metazoa, Chordata, Actinopteri, Labriformes, Labridae. The record is from RefSeq and is a predicted model, not a curated record.